AUUGAACGCUGGCGGCAGGCCUAACACAUGCAAGUCGAGCGGAGCGGCGGACGGGUGAGUAAUGCCUAGGAAUCUGCCUGGUAGUGGGGGAUAACGUCCGGAAACGGGCGCUAAUACCGCAUACUAUCAGAUUAGCCUAGGUCGGGUUAGCUAGUUGGUGGGGUAAAGGCCUACCAAGGCGACGAUCCGUAACUGGUCUCAGAGGAUGAUAAGGAAAACUGGAAUUGAGACACGGUCCAGACUCCGACGGGAGGCAGCAGUGGGGAAGAUUGGAAAAGGGGCGAAAGCCUGAGGCCGCCAUGCCGGGUGUGUGAAUAAGGUCUUCGGAUGGUAAAGCACUUUAAGUUGGGAGGCGUUACCAACAGAAUAAGCACCGGCUAACUUCGUGCCAGCAGCCGCGGUAAUAC
This 407-nucleotide ribosomal RNA is filed under the name uncultured bacterium. RNAcentral describes it as "partial 16S ribosomal RNA". It matches the Rfam family "Bacterial small subunit ribosomal RNA", at positions 30 to 526 of the family's 1533-position model. The record is from RNAcentral.